Long non-coding RNA from Gadus morhua (Atlantic cod), 196 nucleotides. RefSeq lists it as uncharacterized. Lineage: Eukaryota; Metazoa; Chordata; Actinopteri; Gadiformes; Gadidae. The transcript has 2 exons. The record is from RefSeq and is a predicted model, not a curated record.
CCUUGCUGGUGUAGGCCUGGCUGGCUGCGGAAGGCUGUGUGUAGUACUGGGUGACUGCCUGCAUGUAGGAGCCAUAUUCUCCAUAGGAUGACACAGCAGGAGACUGGAACACACCAGGAAACACACAUUCAUGGCUUGCCCUCUAUUUGUCAAGAGUUCAUCAUCAACGUGGAUGAUGAAGGAAGAAACAAAGAAA